GCCUCAGUAGCUCAGUCUGGUAGAGCGGCACCCUCGUAAGGUGCAGGUCGCAAGUUCGAACCUUGCCUGGGGCU
RNAcentral lists this transfer RNA (74 nucleotides) under Candidatus Woesearchaeota archaeon. Its description in RNAcentral is "tRNA-Thr". It matches the Rfam family "tRNA". From Rfam's summary of the family: Transfer RNA (tRNA) molecules are approximately 80 nucleotides in length. Their secondary structure includes four short double-helical elements and three loops (D, anti-codon, and T loops). Further hydrogen bonds mediate the characteristic L-shaped molecular structure. tRNAs have two regions of fundamental functional importance: the anti-codon, which is responsible for specific mRNA codon recognition, and the 3' end, to which the tRNAs corresponding amino acid is attached (by aminoacyl-tRNA synthetases). tRNAs cope with the degeneracy of the genetic code in two manners: having more than one tRNA (with a specific anti-codon) for a particular amino acid; and 'wobble' base-pairing, i.e. permitting non-standard base-pairing at the 3rd anti-codon position. Lineage: Archaea; Nanobdellati; Candidatus Woesearchaeota. The record is from RNAcentral.